Molecule: long non-coding RNA, 321 nt
Organism: Mus caroli (Ryukyu mouse)
Lineage: Eukaryota; Metazoa; Chordata; Mammalia; Rodentia; Muridae
Source: RefSeq, a predicted model, not a curated record
GCCGUAAGUGGGCCAGGAACUAAGAUGCACUAAGAUAAACACGGUCAUCAGGAAGGGUACACAGCACUGAUCCCUGGAUGCUGCACAGAUCUCACUCAGCAGCGCUCAGCAUCAUACCCAGUUCGCUCUCCUGGGACAGACAUCAAGUACAACAAACAAUGACCACUGAGUUAGAAAACCAUUCCAAGCCCAAAGCAGAAGUAAGAUGACUAAGGAAAGAGGCGCAGUCUGUAAGCAGCAGAGAUAAAAUAACAGUUUACUCUACCACAUCUUCCAAGAAGGUGACACGAGAAGUAAAAACAAGUUAGUUAAUACGGUGAC